AAAUUGAAGAGUUUGAUCAUGGCUCAGAUUGAACGCUGGCGGCAGGCCUAACACAUGCAAGUCGAACGGUAACAGGAAGCAGCUUGCUGCUUUGCUGACGAGUGGCGGACGGGUGAGUAAUGUCUGGGAAACUGCCUGAUGGAGGGGGAUAACUACUGGAAACGGUGGCUAAUACCGCAUAACGUCGCAAGACCAAAGAGGGGGACCUUCGGGCCUCUUGCCAUCAGAUGUGCCCAGAUGGGAUUAGCUUGUUGGUGAGGUAACGGCUCACCAAGGCGACGAUCCCUAGCUGGUCUGAGAGGAUGACCAGCCACACUGGAACUGAGACACGGUCCAGACUCCUACGGGAGGCAGCAGUGGGGAAUAUUGCACAAUGGGCGCAAGCCUGAUGCAGCCAUGCCGCGUGUAUGAAGAAGGCCUUCGGGUUGUAAAGUACUUUCAGCGGGGAGGAAGGUGUUGCGGUUAAUAACCGCAGCAAUUGACGUUACCCGCAGAAGAAGCACCGGCUAACUCCGUGCCAGCAGCCGCGGUAAUACGGAGGGUGCAAGCGUUAAUCGGAAUUACUGGGCGUAAAGCGCACGCAGGCGGUCUGUCAAGUCGGAUGUGAAAUCCCCGGGCUCAACCUGGGAACUGCAUUCGAAACUGGCAGGCUUGAGUCUUGUAGAGGGGGGUAGAAUUCCAGGUGUAGCGGUGAAAUGCGUAGAGAUCUGGAGGAAUACCGGUGGCGAAGGCGGCCCCCUGGACAAAGACUGACGCUCAGGUGCGAAAGCGUGGGGAGCAAACAGGAUUAGAUACCCUGGUAGUCCACGCCGUAAACGAUGUCUACUUGGAGGUUGUGCCCUUGAGGCGUGGCUUUCGGAGCUAACGCGUUAAGUAGACCGCCUGGGGAGUACGGCCGCAAGGUUAAAACUCAAAUGAAUUGACGGGGGCCCGCACAAGCGGUGGAGCAUGUGGUUUAAUUCGAUGCAACGCGAAGAACCUUACCUGGUCUUGACAUCCACAGAACU
This 1007-nucleotide ribosomal RNA is filed under the name Salmonella enterica. Its description in RNAcentral is "bacterial SSU rRNA". It matches the Rfam family "Bacterial small subunit ribosomal RNA", at positions 1 to 997 of the family's 1533-position model. The record is from RNAcentral. RNAcentral also lists the same sequence under 1 other name. Lineage: Bacteria; Pseudomonadati; Pseudomonadota; Gammaproteobacteria; Enterobacterales; Enterobacteriaceae.